This 493-nucleotide ribosomal RNA is filed under the name uncultured bacterium. RNAcentral describes it as "partial 16S ribosomal RNA". It matches the Rfam family "Bacterial small subunit ribosomal RNA", at positions 30 to 523 of the family's 1533-position model. The record is from RNAcentral.
AUUGAACGCUGGCGGCAUGCCUUACACAUGCAAGUCGAACGGUAACAGGUUAAGCUGACGAGUGGCGAACGGGUGAGUAAUGUAUCGGAACGUGCCCAGUCGUGGGGGAUAACUACUCGAAAGAGUGGCUAAUACCGCAUACGACCUGAGGGUGAAAGCGGGGGACCGUAAGGCCUCGCCCGAUUGGAGCGGCCGAUAUCAGAUUAGCUAGUUGGUGGGGUAAAAGCCCACCAAGGCGACGAUCUGUAGCUGGUCUGAGAGGACGACCAGCCACACUGGGACUGAGACACGGCCCAGACUCCUACGGGAGGCAGCAGUGGGGAAUUUUGGACAAUGGACGCAAGUCUGAUCCAGCCAUGCCGCGUGCGGGAAGAAGGCCUUCGGGUUGUAAACCGCUUUUGUCAGGGAAGAAACGAGUUUCUCUAAUACAGAGACUUAAUGACGGUACCUGAAGAAUAAGCACCGGCUAACUACGUGCCAGCCGCCGCGGUAA